RNAcentral lists this long non-coding RNA (267 nucleotides) under Vigna radiata. RNAcentral describes it as "long non-coding RNA (VRAD_LNC009651)". Lineage: Eukaryota; Viridiplantae; Streptophyta; Magnoliopsida; Fabales; Fabaceae. The record is from RNAcentral.
CACCACACACUGGGGAGCCCCCUCUACCAGAGUCAGGGAGCAGCGUUGGGCUUUUGGUACAGAGGCACUGGUAAUCGAUUACAACCUGUCUGUAAUCGAUUACACGGGCACAUAAAUCAUAAACUGGGGAGCUCCCUCUACCAGAGCCAGGGAGCAGCGUUGGACUUUUGGUACACAGGCACUGGUAAUCUAUUACAACCUGUCUGUAAUCGAUUACAUGGGCACAUAAAUCACAAAGUCCCUCUUCCUCCAACUCUUCAAUGGCGG